UACGUAGGUGGCGAGCGUUGUCCGGAUUUACUGGGCGUAAAGAGCGCGCAGGCGGUCGUCCAAGUCGCGUGUGAAAGCCCCCGGCUCAACUGGGGAGGGUCACGCGAUACUGUUCGACUCGAAGGCAGGAGAGGGUAGUGGAAUUCCCGGUGUAGUGGUGAAAUGCGUAGAUAUCGGGAGGAACACCAGUGGCGAAGGCGGCUAUCUGGGCUGAAACUGACGCUGAGGCGCGAAGGCUAGGGGAGCAAACAGG
This 253-nucleotide ribosomal RNA is filed under the name uncultured bacterium. Its description in RNAcentral is "partial 16S ribosomal RNA". It matches the Rfam family "Bacterial small subunit ribosomal RNA", at positions 524 to 776 of the family's 1533-position model. The record is from RNAcentral.